Molecule: transfer RNA, 76 nt
Filed under: Felis catus (domestic cat)
Lineage: Eukaryota; Metazoa; Chordata; Mammalia; Carnivora; Felidae
Rfam family: tRNA
About the family: Transfer RNA (tRNA) molecules are approximately 80 nucleotides in length.
Source: Rfam by way of RNAcentral
GCUCAGUUGGCUAAGCAUCUGACUUCCGCUCAGGUCAUGAUCUCACAGUUCGUGGGUUCAAGUCCUGCAUUGGGCU